Molecule: long non-coding RNA, 557 nt
Organism: Felis catus (domestic cat)
Lineage: Eukaryota; Metazoa; Chordata; Mammalia; Carnivora; Felidae
Exons: 2
Source: RefSeq, a predicted model, not a curated record
AUCAGUGAAGAGUUCUUGAGGACAAAAGAACUCCAUUGUGAGCAGGCCAGUUUUCUCAGAAUGCUUCUUAGAUCUGUGUUCCUAAGCCACCCACCUUGUCUGGCUCUCCCCACCUUCUUCCAUGCUGAGCCCAGCUUCUCUGAGAAGCCCAUGGCUUUUUCAUGAAGUUUCCCACAAUAGCCCCAAUCACUGGUGGUGGGAGGAUGUGGUGAGACCCCCAGUGGAGUCAUUGCUCUGAGAAGAUUUUGUAUCUUCCAGGCGCCCGGUGUGCUGAAUCAUAUCUUCAAAGUUCAACGGCCAUUCAGUCAGUCACCACUCAGGAUCACUCAUUAUCAACUGUUUAAAUUUAUAAAAUGCUACCUGGAAACAAAGCCCACUUAACAGGCUGCUUUCCCUGAGACCAGGUCUGCUGCUUGAGACGGGUCUUCCAGUGUAAAGUCCGUUUGUCUGACAUUUGUCCCGGCCCUUGGGUACCCAGCAGAACUUGUGAUCCUGAAAAGAGCUGGUUGAAUUACAUAAUUUUAUGUGACAAAAGAAACAUGACCGUAUUCCUCUGC